AACGAACGCUGGCGGCAGGCCUAACACAUGCAAGUCGAGCGAACCCUUCGGGGUUAGCGGCGGACGGGUUAGUAACGCGUGGGAAUAUACCCUUUGGUACGGAAUAGCCUCGGGAAACUGAGAGUAAUACCGUAUGUGCCCUUCGGGGGAAAGAUUUAUCGCCAAAGGAUUAGCCCGCGUUGGAUUAGAUAGUUGGUGGGGUAAUGGCCUACCAAGUCUACGAUCCAUAGCUGGUUUGAGAGGAUGAUCAGCAACACUGGGACUGAGACACGGCCCAGACUCCUACGGGAGGCAGCAGUGGGGAAUCUUAGACAAUGGGCGCAAGCCUGAUCUAGCCAUGCCGCGUGGACGAUGAAGGCCUUAGGGUUGUAAAGUCCUUUCAGAUGGGAAGAUAAUGACGGUACCAUCAGAAGAAGCCCCGGUUAACUCCGUGCCAGCAGCCGCGGUAA
RNAcentral lists this ribosomal RNA (449 nucleotides) under uncultured bacterium. RNAcentral's name for it is "bacterial SSU rRNA". It matches the Rfam family "Bacterial small subunit ribosomal RNA", at positions 29 to 523 of the family's 1533-position model. The record is from RNAcentral.